GCAUUAUGGUCGGAGCAAGUUUUUGGACAAAUUUCAAAUUAAACAAAGUGGAAAUUUGUCCAAAAACUUGCUCCGACCAUAAUGC
Molecule: microRNA precursor, 85 nt
Filed under: Podarcis lilfordi (Lilford's wall lizard)
Lineage: Eukaryota; Metazoa; Chordata; Lepidosauria; Squamata; Lacertidae
Source: RNAcentral